GGAGAAGCGUCUUCCGCGCUGGACCGUGUAAAAGUCUCCUGGAACGGAGCGUCAUAGAGGGUGAGAAUCCCGUCUUUGACACGGACUACCAGUGCUUUGUGAUGCGCUCUCAAAGAGUCGAGUUGUUUGGGAAUGCAGCUCAAAAUGGGUGGUAAACUCCAUCUAAAGCUAAAUAUUGGCGAGAGACCGAUAGCGAACAAGUACCGUGAGGGAAAGAUGAAAAGCACUUUGGAAAGAGAGUUAAACAGUACGUGAAAUUGCUGAAAGGGAAACGCUUGAAGUCAGUCGCGUUUGCUAGGACUCAGCCUUGCCUCGGCUUGGUGCACUUCCUAGUAGACGGGCCAGCAUCACUUUUGGCUGCGGGAAAAAGGUCAGAGGAAUGUGGCACCUUCGGGUGUGUUAUAGCCUCUGGCUGUAUACCGUGGCUGGGAGUGAGGAUCUCAGCACGCCUCACGGCGGGGCUUCGGCCACCUUCGUGCUUAGGAUGCUGGCGUAAUGGCUUUAAACGACCCGUCUUGAAACACGGACCAAGGAGUCUAACAUGCCUGCGAGUGUUUGGGUGGAAAACCCGAGCGCGUAAUGAAAGUGAAAGUUGGGACCUCUGUCGUGGAGGGCACCGACGCCCGGACCAGAACUUCGGGGACGGAUCUGCGGUAGAGCAUGUAUGUUGGGACCCGAAAGAUGGUGAACUAUGCCUGAAUAGGGUGNCCAGAGGAAACUCUGGUGGAGGCUCGUAGGGNNCNACGUGCAAAUCGAUCGUCAAAUUUGGGUAUAGGGGCGAAAG
This 784-nucleotide ribosomal RNA is filed under the name Phanerochaete sordida. Its description in RNAcentral is "eukaryotic LSU rRNA". It matches the Rfam family "Eukaryotic large subunit ribosomal RNA", at positions 151 to 929 of the family's 3401-position model. The record is from RNAcentral. Lineage: Eukaryota; Fungi; Basidiomycota; Agaricomycetes; Polyporales; Phanerochaetaceae.